UGGGGAAUUUUGGACAAUGGGCGAAAGCCUGAUCCAGCCAUGCCGCGUGCGGGAUGAAGGCCUUCGGGUUGUAAACUGCUUUUGUACGGAACGAAAAGACUCCUUCUAAUAAAGGGGGUACAUGACGGUACCGUAAGAAUAAGCACCGGCUAACUACGUGCCAGCAGCCGCGGUAAUACGUAGGGUGCGAGCGUUGAUCGGAAUUACUGGGCGUAAAGCGUGCGCAGGCGGUUAUAUAAGACAGUUGUGAAAUCCCCGGGCUCAACCUGGGAACUGCAUCUGUGACUGUAUAGCUAGAGUACGGUAGAGGGGGAUGGAAUUCCGCGUGUAGCAGUGAAAUGCGUAGAUAUGCGGAGGAACACCGAUGGCGAAGGCAAUCCCCUGGACCUGUACUGACGCUCAUGCACGAAAGCGUGGGGAGCAAACA
RNAcentral lists this ribosomal RNA (427 nucleotides) under uncultured bacterium. Its description in RNAcentral is "bacterial SSU rRNA". It matches the Rfam family "Bacterial small subunit ribosomal RNA", at positions 355 to 774 of the family's 1533-position model. The record is from RNAcentral.